AGUUUGACUGGGGCGGUCUCCUCCCAAAGAGUAACGGAGGAGCACGAAGGUUAGCUAAUCCUGGUCGGACAUCAGGAGGUUAGUGCAAUGGCAUAAGCUAGCUUGACUGCGAGAGUGACGGCUCGAGCAGGUGCGAAAGCAGGUCAUAGUGAUCCGGUGGUUCUGAAUGGAAGGGCCAUCGCUCAACGGAUAAAAGGUACUCCGGGGAUAACAGGCUGAUACCGCCCAAGAGUUCAUAUCGACGGCGGUGUUUGGCACCUCGAUGUCGGCUCAUCACAUCCUGGGGCUGAAGUAGGUCCCAAGGGUAUGGCUGUUCGCCAUUUAAAGUGGUACGCGAGCUGGGUUUAGAACGUCGUGAGACAGUUCGGUCCCUAUCUGCCGUGGGCGCUGGAGAAUUGAGGGGGGCUGCUCCUAGUACGAGAGGACCGGAGUGGACGCAUCACUGGUGUUCGGGUUGUCAUGCCAAUGGCACUGCCCGGUAGCUAAAUGCGGAAAAGAUAAGUGCUGAAAGCAUCUAAGCACGAAACUUGCCCCGAGAUGAGUUCUCCCUGACUCCUUGAGAGUCCUGAAGGAACGUUGAAGACGACGACGUUGAUAGGUCGGGUGUGUAAGCGCAGCGAUGCGUUGAGCUAACCGAUACUAAUGAACCGUGAGGCUUAACCUUACAACGCCGAAG
RNAcentral lists this ribosomal RNA (676 nucleotides) under Enterobacter sp. HMSC16D10. Its description in RNAcentral is "bacterial LSU rRNA". It matches the Rfam family "Bacterial large subunit ribosomal RNA", at positions 2267 to 2925 of the family's 2925-position model. Lineage: Bacteria; Pseudomonadati; Pseudomonadota; Gammaproteobacteria; Enterobacterales; Enterobacteriaceae. The record is from RNAcentral.